RNAcentral lists this ribosomal RNA (2786 nucleotides) under Escherichia coli. Its description in RNAcentral is "bacterial LSU rRNA". It matches the Rfam family "Bacterial large subunit ribosomal RNA". The record is from RNAcentral. Lineage: Bacteria; Pseudomonadati; Pseudomonadota; Gammaproteobacteria; Enterobacterales; Enterobacteriaceae.
AGCGUACACGGUGGAUGCCCUGGCAGUCAGAGGCGAUGAAGGACGUGCUAAUCUGCGAUAAGCGUCGGUAAGGUGAUAUGAACCGUUAUAACCGGCGAUUUCCGAAUGGGGAAACCCAGUGUGAUUCGUCACACUAUCAUUAACUGAAUCCAUAGGUUAAUGAGGCGAACCGGGGGAACUGAAACAUCUAAGUACCCCGAGGAAAAGAAAUCAACCGAGAUUCCCCCAGUAGCGGCGAGCGAACGGGGAGCAGCCCAGAGCCUGAAUCAGUGUGUGUGUUAGUGGAAGCGUCUGGAAAGGCGCGCGAUACAGGGUGACAGCCCCGUACACAAAAAUGCACAUGCUGUGAGCUCGAUGAGUAGGGCGGGACACGUGGUAUCCUGUCUGAAUAUGGGGGGACCAUCCUCCAAGGCUAAAUACUCCUGACUGACCGAUAGUGAACCAGUACCGUGAGGGAAAGGCGAAAAGAACCCCGGCGAGGGGAGUGAAAAAGAACCUGAAACCGUGUACGUACAAGCAGUGGGAGCACGCUUAGGCGUGUGACUGCGUACCUUUUGUAUAAUGGGUCAGCGACUUAUAUUCUGUAGCAAGGUUAACCGAAUAGGGGAGCCGAAGGGAAACCGAGUCUUAACUGGGCGUUAAGUUGCAGGGUAUAGACCCGAAACCCGGUGAUCUAGCCAUGGGCAGGUUGAAGGUUGGGUAACACUAACUGGAGGACCGAACCGACUAAUGUUGAAAAAUUAGCGGAUGACUUGUGGCUGGGGGUGAAAGGCCAAUCAAACCGGGAGAUAGCUGGUUCUCCCCGAAAGCUAUUUAGGUAGCGCCUCGUGAAUUCAUCUCCGGGGGUAGAGCACUGUUUCGGCAAGGGGGUCAUCCCGACUUACCAACCCGAUGCAAACUGCGAAUACCGGAGAAUGUUAUCACGGGAGACACACGGCGGGUGCUAACGUCCGUCGUGAAGAGGGAAACAACCCAGACCGCCAGCUAAGGUCCCAAAGUCAUGGUUAAGUGGGAAACGAUGUGGGAAGGCCCAGACAGCCAGGAUGUUGGCUUAGAAGCAGCCAUCAUUUAAAGAAAGCGUAAUAGCUCACUGGUCGAGUCGGCCUGCGCGGAAGAUGUAACGGGGCUAAACCAUGCACCGAAGCUGCGGCAGCGACACUAUGUGUUGUUGGGUAGGGGAGCGUUCUGUAAGCCUGUGAAGGUGUGCUGUGAGGCAUGCUGGAGGUAUCAGAAGUGCGAAUGCUGACAUAAGUAACGAUAAAGCGGGUGAAAAGCCCGCUCGCCGGAAGACCAAGGGUUCCUGUCCAACGUUAAUCGGGGCAGGGUGAGUCGACCCCUAAGGCGAGGCCGAAAGGCGUAGUCGAUGGGAAACAGGUUAAUAUUCCUGUACUUGGUGUUACUGCGAAGGGGGGACGGAGAAGGCUAUGUUGGCCGGGCGACGGUUGUCCCGGUUUAAGCGUGUAGGCUGGUUUUCCAGGCAAAUCCGGAAAAUCAAGGCUGAGGCGUGAUGACGAGGCACUACGGUGCUGAAGCAACAAAUGCCCUGCUUCCAGGAAAAGCCUCUAAGCAUCAGGUAACAUCAAAUCGUACCCCAAACCGACACAGGUGGUCAGGUAGAGAAUACCAAGGCGCUUGAGAGAACUCGGGUGAAGGAACUAGGCAAAAUGGUGCCGUAACUUCGGGAGAAGGCACGCUGAUAUGUAGGUGAAGUCCCUCGCGGAUGGAGCUGAAAUCAGUCGAAGAUACCAGCUGGCUGCAACUGUUUAUUAAAAACACAGCACUGUGCAAACACGAAAGUGGACGUAUACGGUGUGACGCCUGCCCGGUGCCGGAAGGUUAAUUGAUGGGGUCAGCGCAAGCGAAGCUCUUGAUCGAAGCCCCGGUAAACGGCGGCCGUAACUAUAACGGUCCUAAGGUAGCGAAAUUCCUUGUCGGGUAAGUUCCGACCUGCACGAAUGGCGUAAUGAUGGCCAGGCUGUCUCCACCCGAGACUCAGUGAAAUUGAACUCGCUGUGAAGAUGCAGUGUACCCGCGGCAAGACGGAAAGACCCCGUGAACCUUUACUAUAGCUUGACACUGAACAUUGAGCCUUGAUGUGUAGGAUAGGUGGGAGGCUUUGAAGUGUGGACGCCAGUCUGCAUGGAGCCGACCUUGAAAUACCACCCUUUAAUGUUUGAUGUUCUAACGUUGACCCGUGAUCCGGGUUGCGGACAGUGUCUGGUGGGUAGUUUGACUGGGGCGGUCUCCUCCUAAAGAGUAACGGAGGAGCACGAAGGUUGGCUAAUCCUGGUCGGACAUCAGGAGGUUAGUGCAAUGGCAUAAGCCAGCUUGACUGCGAGCGUGACGGCGCGAGCAGGUGCGAAAGCAGGUCAUAGUGAUCCGGUGGUUCUGAAUGGAAGGGCCAUCGCUCAACGGAUAAAAGGUACUCCGGGGAUAACAGGCUGAUACCGCCCAAGAGUUCAUAUCGACGGCGGUGUUUGGCACCUCGAUGUCGGCUCAUCACAUCCUGGGGCUGAAGUAGGUCCCAAGGGUAUGGCUGUUCGCCAUUUAAAGUGGUACGCGAGCUGGGUUUAGAACGUCGUGAGACAGUUCGGUCCCUAUCUGCCGUGGGCGCUGGAGAACUGAGGGGGGCUGCUCCUAGUACGAGAGGACCGGAGUGGACGCAUCACUGGUGUUCGGGUUGUCAUGCCAAUGGCACUGCCCGGUAGCUAAAUGCGGAAGAGAUAAGUGCUGAAAGCAUCUAAGCACGAAACUUGCCCCGAGAUGAGUUCUCCCUGACUCCUUGA